RNAcentral lists this ribosomal RNA (497 nucleotides) under uncultured bacterium. Its description in RNAcentral is "partial 16S ribosomal RNA". It matches the Rfam family "Bacterial small subunit ribosomal RNA", at positions 28 to 507 of the family's 1533-position model. The record is from RNAcentral.
GAUGAACGCUGGCGGCGUGCCUAAUACAUGCAAGUCGAACGCAUAGCGAAAGGUGCUUGCACCUUUCAGGUGAGUGGCGAACGGGUGAGUAACACGUGGACAACCUGCCUCAAGGCUGGGGAUAACAUUUGGAAACAGAUGCUAAUACCGAAUAAAACUUAGUGUCGCAUGACACAAAGUUAAAAGGCGCUUCGGCGUCACCUAGAGAUGGAUCCGCGGUGCAUUAGUUAGUUGGUGGGGUAAAGGCCUACCAAGACAAUGAUGCAUAGCCGAGUUGAGAGACUGAUCGGCCACAUUGGGACUGAGACACGGCCCAAACUCCUACGGGAGGCUGCAGUAGGGAAUCUUCCACAAUGGGCGAAAGCCUGAUGGAGCAACGCCGCGUGUGUGAUGAAGGCUUUCGGGUCGUAAAGCACUGUUGUAUGGGAAGAACAGCUAGAAUAGGAAAUGAUUUUAGUUUGACGGUACCAUACCAGAAAGGGACGGCUAAAUACGUG